GCCAGGGGCACUUGGUAUUUCUUCGCCCGAUCUCCGCCAUCUUUCUUUUCAAACAAGCAGGUGGUUACUUGAGCCCAGGACACAAGAUUAACCUAAGACGAGUUUGACAAAUGUCAGCAUUUCCCUCAACCUCUAUGGAGGCCGAAAAAUGACAUCAACGAAGAGUUCAAGAGGCUCAUGGCUGUUCCCCUGGAGGAGAAAUUCAUGGCCCAGUUAGAUAUGCACUCCAGUGAGCUGAUCAGAGUCAUCCGUUCCAAAGGAGGAGCAACACGCCACAAGAUUGCUGGCAUCAUGCAGAUUUUGGACCAGGCUGAGGAUAUUCAUCUUUUGGAAAGUGUCUACUGAAAGCCCUCAUAAUAUUCCUUGGAGAAGAUGCAGAUGACCUGAUCAAGAAAUAUCUUUGUCUUUCUCCUCCUUGGUGAACCUGCCAAGGCUCAGAACCACCAGGAAUGCAUGAGGACCUGGAGCAGACAGAGAGAUACAUGUCUUGAUCCUCUUCAAUACUUUUCCACUGGGAGAAGUGCUUCUUCAUUACAAUGAACUCACCAGUUUAAAUCCUGGAAUUAAACACCAUGCACACACACAACAAAGGAGGAGCAGUGUGUAAAUAUGGAGCAUGAAACCAGUUGGCAAUAUAUGCUUUUGAUGGUGGGUGUUGCCGUGUGUUUCUUAUCUGCAUGAAGUUUAGAGGGGGAGAGUGUAAGCCAAGUUAUUUUCUCCAAUUGACAGAUGCCAUUCUAAAUGCCUCACUUGCAGACAAUUGGUAAAUGCUAACCAAGCCGUUGAGCAGGAGUACCAAGUAGAGCCCAUGAGUUGGAAUUGCUGGUAUCUUUCUUGGGACAUUUACAUCGUCAUGGGCUCAACUUUUGGGGGAUUUUUGGGCAGUGAUAGUGCACUGAUAGUUGUUUUUACGGGACAAAUCAAGCCUAUAUUUCUCUCCUGACGGUUUAUCAAUGGUAUAUUAUUUUGAAUCAAUAUCUUGCAGAUAUAAUAUAUAUAUAUAUAUAUAUAUAUAUAUAUAAAUAUUUUUGUUUGUCUUUUAACGCAGCCUUGAAACAAUGUAACCCCUGAAUUGAGACACAAUUUAAAUAAGCGAGGUGUUGAGACGUGUAACAGCACAUUGCUGGUUUGACUAUUGGGGAUUUGUUUACAACAAGAAAGAGUGCAGUAAUAAUUUAUCAUCAAUAAUUUAAUAAAUCUGCUGCAGUAGAAGACUCCAAAAUUGAUUUCCCAACGUUCCUGGUCACAGUUCUUGCUUACACACACCUACCACUCACUUGUUCUUAUCUCCUCCAUCAGUCCAAUAACAUUUCAUUGUUACAUUUUUUGCCAGACUGUCUACUGAGCCAUGGCAUGUUCUCUUUUUGAACAUAUAUCUGUGUAUCAAUUAACAAAAUCAAUUAGCAAAAUCACAUAUCUGAUACAUUUUAACUGACAUGUUAAAGUGACAUGGCAUGACAUAUGACAUUUUUUGUGAUUUAGUAAGGAGAAUAAGGU
Long non-coding RNA from Pleuronectes platessa (European plaice), 1497 nucleotides. RefSeq lists it as uncharacterized. The record is from RefSeq and is a predicted model, not a curated record. The transcript is spliced from 6 exons. NCBI's taxonomy places the organism in Eukaryota, Metazoa, Chordata, Actinopteri, Pleuronectiformes, Pleuronectidae.